Molecule: ribosomal RNA, 256 nt
Filed under: uncultured bacterium
Lineage: Bacteria
Description: partial 16S ribosomal RNA
Rfam family: Bacterial small subunit ribosomal RNA
Source: RNAcentral
UACGUAGGGUGCAAGCGUUAAUCGGAAUUACUGGGCGUAAAGCGUGCGCAGGCGGUUUUGUAAGUCUGUCGUGAAAUCCCCCGGGCUCAACCUGGGAAUGGCGAUGGAGACUGCAAGGCUAGAGUUUGGCAGAGGGGGGGGUAGAAUUCCGCGUGUAGCAGUGAAAUGCGUAGAUAUGUGGGGGAACACCGAUGGCGAAGGCAGCCCCCUGGGUCAAAACUGACGCUCAUGCACGAAAGCGUGGGGAGCAAACAGG